UCCUGUGCCUCUCCAUUCUGUUUCGUGCUGCCCAACCCAGUUGAGGAUCUGCACUCACCCAACUGAAGGGCUGGAUCCAGAAUGUCUCAUCCUAUGCACAGCUGACCCUCUUCAUCUAGUGAUUGGUCUUCCAGGGCUGGUCUCAGCAGAGGGGCAGGUCACUCAAGUGUUCAGACUUUGACUGCCAACUUACAUUCUCCUGAUCAAAAGGGGCGUCUGAAACUGUGGUUGCUGAGAACUUAAGACCCUGGACACCAUUACCUUUAGAACAUCUUUGUGGAUUGCUUCUUCAGGCUUCUGGCUAUGUGAAGGGACCCUCAAGGGAGCCACUUGUCCUCAUAGAACAGGUAUCUCUAGGCACCCUGUAUCUACUGACAGCUUUGCACUCGGACUGAGACCCAGGGCUGUGGGC
RNAcentral lists this long non-coding RNA (412 nucleotides) under Mus spicilegus (steppe mouse). RNAcentral's name for it is "lncRNA (ENSMSIG00000014818.1)". The record is from RNAcentral. Lineage: Eukaryota; Metazoa; Chordata; Mammalia; Rodentia; Muridae.